Molecule: long non-coding RNA, 5789 nt
Filed under: Equus caballus (horse)
Lineage: Eukaryota; Metazoa; Chordata; Mammalia; Perissodactyla; Equidae
Description: lncRNA (ENSECAG00000045555.1)
Source: RNAcentral
GGGGGUUGUAUCUGAUUCAGUAGACAGGCAGUGGGAAGAUGUGGAAAGAUUUAGAGAAGAUGAGUGAUACAAUCCAAACGUUCGUCUAGGAAGGAUGAUCUAGUAACAGUGGAAGAUUUAAAGAAGAAAAUGCCUGCUGACUGUAAAACCAGGCAGGUGGUUAUUCCUGGCACAAGGUGACAAAACGCAAAAAGUGGCGAGUAGCAGUGACAGUUAGGAGAGGAUGAAUGGGAAAUAUAUUUUAGAAAUAUGCUUAACUACAUUGGGUGGCUGGGUGACUGUGAGGAAUUAGGCAGAGAACGGUGGGCUAGAGGAAGAUUCUAGGGGCUGGAGACCAUGGCAGAAACACAUCGUUAGGAGUUAAGAGGAAUAGGGAAGGAGGAACAAGUUUAGGAGGAAAUAUGAUAAAUUUGAUUUUGAACUUACAACUUAUGGGGCUGCAUGAGUCAUGAAGAACAAGGAAAAACUCUGGGAGUUCGUUAUGGUGGGUCGAUAAGGACGUGACUAACUCCUGUUCACGUAAGGCUGGAGCUUAGGAAUAUUCAGUGAUGGUUAUAGAAAAUAUAAAAUAAUAAAAAAUUAUUAAGCAUCUGCUAAGUAUCAAGAACUAAGGUAAACUCUUCUAUGCAAUUUAAAAAGACAUAUUCUUCAUAAUAGUUCCAUGAGGUAGUCACUAUUAGCUUGAUUUUCUUGAAUAACAAACAGACCUAUUAAAUAACUUGCCCGAGGAUACGCAGCUGAUAGGUGGCAAAACUGCAGUUAGGAACCUGGUUCAUCUGACUUCAGAGGCCACUUGAGUUAGUGGCAAAUCUGCUUUUCUCUUAACACUAUGACUUUCUAUCCUUGUCUGUUGUCGAUAAUGCAGGUUUAGAGAUUUUAUUUAUGAUGCUGAGAAACAACUUGGGAUACGUGUAGCUCUAAACACCCAGAACUAAUAAAAUUACAUUGAUCUGUAGCAUUUCAGAAGCACAGGGCGAAGCACUAUCCAAAGCAUCUCCAGCUUCUUUUGCCAAUUUAGCAGUAAUUAGGUCUAGGGAGUCCUGUGUUCCAACCAUAUCUAGAAGAUUAUGCUUUCACAGCCAUGCUUCCAAUUAUAUUUUGAAGAUCGUUUUCAUUACCAUCCCAGGAAGGAGGCUACGUAAGCUUGUUUUCCUCCCAUUAUUCUAACUGGAAUAAACAUGGCUUUAUUUAAAGAAAAACAAACUAGCAACGACCCCAAAUACUUCUUAACAAAAUAUUUUACCUUUGUUUCUGGGCAUGAAAAUGAUGGUUGCUAAGAGAUCCAGAAAGUGAAAAGCAAAAUGAGACAAAGGAGACUGAAAUAAUGUUUGCCUGGUUACUCAGAACAGCAUGCAGUGACUUUGUUUACUUUUCCUUCUUCCCCCUUUUUAAUGAACUGGUGAUGUUUUUAAAAUUUCCAAAUGAAUAUAAAUACCACCACAGUGCUAUUGACCUAUUUAUGUCCCCUGGAUAUUUCUAACUGAAUUAUGACAUCCAAACCAUAAUAAAACUUAAAUGUUUCCAAUACCAGCAAGAAGAUAUUUUCUCUUGCUUUCUUUUUUUAAAAGCUGCCAUUUGGAAAAAGUACUUUGGUGUUACUCCAAACCUUUGGAAACCUCUUCUUGGGAAUCUCCUAUUGGGAUGUCUGAUGAAGGGAAAUGAUGGAACUGAUCAUAAACCUGAUUCAGCUUUGGAGAUUGGUGCAUGUUGGGUGCACUAAUUACUGAGUUACACCUGCAAGCAUUUACAGCUUUUAGUAACCAUGGUUCAGUAAUAUAAUAAAUAUUUACUAGUAUGUAUGUUUGAGAAAAAGUUGUAAAGGCCUCUUUUGAAUGCGUAGUCUCUUUAAGAUCUCACAUGCAAGACUAGUGAAGACCUCCAAGGGCCUUGACUGUUGCUCAAUAUCAUGGUGGCAUUCAGUUUGAAUAUUUUAGAGACAUACAAACAAGCGAUUAGAUCAAAUAAUUGCUUUUAUCAGGUUCAAAGCAUUGGGAAAUCAAGAUGUUUGUCCAAGAUACCACUGGAUCAAGCUUUUCUUCAAACCAACAGAGGAGUUAUCAUUUCAUUUUUUUUUUUUGCCAGAAGUAGAUAUAUGAGAAAUAUUUUUUUUUGCCCUUUAAAACUAAAAGCAGUAUUUAGGGUUUGCAACCCAAAUAUUCCCUCCCCAGCUUCUUGCAGUGUAUUUACCUUAUAAUAUGGCAAUCAAGGAGCUGAUCACACUGAUAGAGACAAUUCUUCAUUUUUGCUUCUGAGUGGUAUUUCACAUACUGCAAAUUUAGGAAGAAACAUUGUCCAUUGCCGACCAGCCAAAUUAAUUAUACUGUAUUGAUUGAAAGCAAAAGAGAUUGAUUACUUGCAUGGUUGUUGUAAAGGUAUCUUACAAGCUGGCAGAAUUUAAGAUGAGAUGAGAAUUAAGUUCCAAAUGCACCAAGAACUCCAAAAAAGAAAUCUAUUCAUAAACAAACGAUAGGAUAUCAAACUCUUCAGGCAAGGGAAAGAGCAAUGGCUUAUGUUGGUCCUUCAAGGGACGUGCAGAGUGGAAGAGAGAGAUACUGACUAUCAAGAUAUGAACAUAAUGGAUACUUUCAUUGGGGACAGCCUGUAAAGUGAUAGAGAUCCUUUCCCUUCAGAUCCCAGUUUGUUCAGGAACCUAUGAACACAUAUGCGGAAUUUUCCAACAACAAUUUCCAAUAUCCCAGUAAAAAAUAUUCAAAUACCACAAAUUUUAGGUAAAUUUUUAUUGUAUGAAAAGAGCAUGGGUUUAGGAUUAGAGAAAACUGGGUUGGAAUCCUGACACCCCCAUCUAUUCUGACCCAACAGAAUAUAUUCAGUUUUUCAGUCUCAUGGGAAAGAGCAUCGUAAGUUGACAUCACUGCCUGUUAGGAGGAUUAAAUAAGACAUAUUGUCACAGUAUGUAUUCCAGUAAGACUGGUUGUCAUAGACAUACUAUAUUCUUUUCCAUGACAUCAUUCCUCCCAUCUCUUCUGCCUAAAGCACAUGUAUGCGUGUGAACAGGAGAAAGCCCAUAGAGAGGGAAAUAUUGAGUGCUCAGAAACCAGAGGGAUAACCCUAUUUCAAGAUCUCUAGAGAGGCAAAGUGGUAUGGGAUGUAGAACAGGGUGGGAGAUAGACUGCAGGAGCAGGACAGGUUUCAACACUGGGGCCACAGUCAUCUUGAUUGACCUACUUGCUCCGUCAUUUAUUAGCUAUGGGGCCCUGGGAAAGUUCCUUUACUUCUUGUAGUGUUGAUUUUAUUAUUUGAGAAACUGGGAUAAUAAGAGACUAAUUAACUGCUUGUUUAUAAAGCACUUAGCACAAUCUGGCACCUAACGCUUACUUAAUUCCUAUUGGUCAUCGUCUUCAUCGUCAUCAUCAUCGUUAUUAUCAUUUUAAUUAUUUAAUUAUUUUCUUCUACGUAAACUUAAAUAGGAAAGGAUGUUUCUGGAUGCAAAGUGCUGAUUUCUGAUGGCUUUUAUGUUAACCGUGAGGCAGGAGAUAAUGCCUGCUACUCCGCUUUGGAGGGAGACCAGAGGAAAAGGCAGAAGAGUUGACCCUUAUGAAGCAGGGAGAUUGAAAAUCAUUUACAAAGACAAAAACAAUACGAGUGAUUUUUCAUUUUAUUUACCAAUCCCCUGUCCCCCAAAUAAUGGAUGAUGAAUGUUUUGUAACUGUUGAGCUACUUUUUAAAAAUUGACCUAUUUGACAGAAGCAGCCGUUUCUUUUACUACUGCAGUUUGCUCAUACAUAGAAAAAAAAAUUUAUGAAUUAGUAUUAGCAUUCAUCCUGAAAUAUAGAAAAACUCCACAAUUGCCAUUACUAAAAAUAUUUUUUAUUCACAGGCAAUGUCUAAAUUCUCAAACGUUCCCGUUUUUAAAUCUCUGUACUUCACAUACCAUCCUUCUUUAGCGGUUUAGACUUUUUUUUAAAAUGACUCUUUAUUUUGAUGAGACUUCCAAACUAACGCUAAACUAUGUUUUCAGAGAGACAGGUUUUAAGAAUCAGAAUAACAAACCAAGCUUCUGUUUAAUGCAAAGUUAAUGUUACUACAGUUUAAUCAUGCCCUCUCCACACCUGCUUCCCGGGCUUCUGCCAUAGCGUUUUUUCAAGGAUUUUGGAUCUCCGUAUGUUUUUCCCUUCUGGUCUUUGUCAAUGGUUUUCAUAAUUGGUUAAGAUGAGAUAGUUAGAAAAUGACCUGUGAACGGCAGGAAAAACCACUUUAACUGGUAAUUUAGCUGAACCUUUAACUAUUUCAGCUAUGUCAUUGAGCAAACAGAUUCGAGAACUGACGGAGAGUCUGUUCUAAGAAUGUUUUGAUCCCUGCCCCCUUCCCACCCAUGCAACUAUGGAUGCCUAGUCCAAGAUAAAAAGGGCCAGGGACAACAUUGUGUUCACCAUCAUAGAGUUGAUUAAAACUUCACUGAGGCAAGCACCAAUGUUUAGAAAGCCUUGAGUACAGUUAGACUGUAAGUUCCUUGAGGACCAGAAGUGGUAAACAUCAUUGGACUCCUCAUUUCUAAUACAUCACAUGGCCUAGCACACAGAGGUGCACAGCAGAUACUGGUGAAUAAAUGGCGACUUAUGAGAAAUUUAGAUAUUUCUUCUAUCUACCUCUUCCUUACACACAUCUUAUUAGCAGACCUAAUUCAAAUUUGAACCAUCUCGGGUUUCUGUCUUCAUUGCAAAGGCCCAUCUGGGCUCAUCAAUCUCACCCUCUUCACCAAACAACUUGAGUCACACAGCAUAUGGUUAGUAAUUUAUCACCUUUAAAAAAGCAAAACUCAGCUAGGGAGUAAUUGCAGUCCAGAAAAUCUCAUUAGUAUAGUACAGCAAGUCCAAUCCUCCCACCAACUUUUCAACAGUGCAAAAGAACAAAUACAUGCCCACGUUCAAGAAGUGAUAGUAUUUAUAUGAUCAGACUAUAAUCAUGCACGAUUUAUUACCACGUGGCUUUGGAAUAGUUCAGUUUACAGAUCUAAGAAAAUUAUUCAAUAUCUGAUGGGAUCGUUCAGAAUAAGAUUAAACUGCUCAAUGCUGUUGUCAAAUACAAAAAAAAGAAAGUAUGAGUGCCAAAGGUAAGUUUUUUUAUAACGUAUUCACAGCAACAAUAAUUGUCACAUCUAAUGUUUAAAUAUAUAACAGUUUCAUGGAGUCUUGACCUUUAUACCUAUUUGAAAACUCUAUUUUAGGGCAAUAACCUUAAAUGUUGAAUGAUUUAAUAUUUUUAAUAUUUUACUUAAGAACAUCUGACAAUGCUGUAUCAUCUUUUGCCUGCCUAAUGUGGAGUAGAAUAUCUCCAUAUCCUACUCAAUGAGCAUUUUGAACGUGUCCGACAGAACGCAGUCUAGUCUCCCAGAAGUUAUCAGUAACGGUGAUAGCAAAAACACCAGAGAGCAGAGCAGAGGGUGCCCCAGGCCUGGGGGAAGCUGUAGAGUAACAGGUGAUGAGUCUGUGUUCGAGGGUCAGACCGCCCACUUUUGAAUCCUAACUUAGCUCACUCUGUAACUUAAUCUAUGUUUGUUUCCAUCCACAACUCGGGAUGCAAGUUUCCUCAGAGGGUUCUUAUGGGAUUCUUGACCCGAUGCCUGAAAAGCACUUAUGCAGAGCCAGACACAUCUUGAAAGCACAAUAAAUCUCUGCUGCUAUUCCUCUGCCCCAUAAUUUCUGUUUGAGCAAAGGCCAUUAAGGACUACAGGUUUUGUUUAACAGCUGUUUUUUUAUGUAUUUAAGCUUAAGGUAAUAUUAAGAUAACAGUUCUUAAAAUCUGUCCAGUAGAGUGUCAACAGUUCCAUG